UGUGAUCAGGACUGAACACAGAGACACCAUGGAGUCUGGACUGAGCUGGGUUUUCCUUGUUGCUCUGUUACAAGGUGUCCAAUGCGAUGUGCAGCUGCUAGAGUCUGGGGGAGGCUUGGUCCAGCCUGGGGGUUCCCUGAGACUCUCCUGUGCAGCCUCUGGAUUCACCUUCAGCAGCUACUGGAUGAACUGGGUCCGCCAGGCUCCAGGGAAGGGGCUGGAGUGGGUCUCACGCAUUAAUACUAAUGGUGGUAGCACAUACUACGCAGACAGUGUGAAGGGCCGAUUCACCAUCUCCAGAGACAACGGCAAAAACAUGCUGUAUCUUCAGAUGAACAGUCUGAAAGCUGAGGACACGGCCCUGUACUACUGUGCAAGAGACACGGUGACAGGACAUCAGUGUGAGCCCAGACACAAACCUCCUGUGGAGGCCAGUGGGGCCACCAGGGGGUUGAUCCCCAGUGCCUGAGCAGGUGCUGAGGGAAGCUGAGGUUUCCUUCCAGACCUUGCUGUUUCCUGUCUCUCUGCCUGUUCUUAGUCUUCCUCAAGACUCAUGGUGUUUUUUUUUCCUGCAAUGUCCUGGGCUCUUUCAUCUACAAUUGGAUGGCUUCUGACCUGUU
Molecule: non-coding RNA, 620 nt
Organism: Microcebus murinus (gray mouse lemur)
Lineage: Eukaryota; Metazoa; Chordata; Mammalia; Primates; Cheirogaleidae
Source: the annotation of a RefSeq genome assembly